RNAcentral lists this transfer RNA (87 nucleotides) under bacterium. RNAcentral's name for it is "tRNA-Ser". It matches the Rfam family "tRNA". Rfam says of the family: Transfer RNA (tRNA) molecules are approximately 80 nucleotides in length. Their secondary structure includes four short double-helical elements and three loops (D, anti-codon, and T loops). The record is from RNAcentral.
GGAGGAGUGCCAGAGCGGUCGAAUGGGCUGGUUUCGAAAACCAGUAUAUCCGAAAGGGUAUCGUGAGUUCGAAUCUCACCUCCUCCG